This 510-nucleotide ribosomal RNA is filed under the name uncultured bacterium. RNAcentral's name for it is "partial 16S ribosomal RNA". It matches the Rfam family "Bacterial small subunit ribosomal RNA", at positions 28 to 507 of the family's 1533-position model. The record is from RNAcentral.
GACGAACGCUGGCGGCGUGCUUAACACAUGCAAGUCGAACGAAGAGCGACGGAAGCUUGCUUCUAUCAAUCUUAGUGGCGAACGGGUGAGUAACGCGUAAUCAACCUGCCCUUCAGAGGGGGACAACAGUUGGAAACGACUGCUAAUACCGCAUACGAUCUAAUCUCGGCAUCGAGGAUGGAUGAAAGGUGGCCUCUACAUGUAAGCUAUCACUGAAGGAGGGGAUUGCGUCUGAUUAGCUAGUUGGAGGGGUAACGGCCCACCAAGGCGAUGGUCAGUAGCCGGUCUGAGAGGAUGAACGGCCACAUUGGGACUGAGACACGGCCCAGACUCCUACGGGAGGCAGCAGUGGGGAAUCUUCCGCAAUGGACGAAAGUCUGACGGAGCAACGCCGCGUGAGUGAUGACGGCCUUCGGGUUGUAAAGCUCUGUUAAUCGGGACGAAAGGCCUUCUUGCGAAUAGUGAGAAGGAUUGACGGUACCGGAAUAGAAAGCCACGGCUAACUACGUG